UCUCGCAGCUCCAGGGCCUCCAGCCGGCCCUUCCCCCACAUGCCCCAAGAGAAUGGGAAGUUCAGCCAAGACUCACAGCACCUGCCUGCAGCUCCAGACCGGCUGCGCGACCCGGGCGGGCCGGCCGGCGGGGGAGGCGGCUCCACUCACCUGGCACACAAAGGCUCCGCACACCUCCGGCGGGAGGAGGCACCGGCAGGGGGCAACCUAGUAAUCUGGUGACAUCAUCAACCUGUGGGCCUACACAUAAAUAUCUUCAAUAAAAUAAAAGCUAGAAAGCCCAAAGAACCAGCUAUAAAAUACUCUGGAAGGAUGAGGAGGUGCUGGAAACAAGGCCCUGAGGGGAUCUGCCCUGACACCGCCAGUGUCCCGCCUGCAACCGACCUCCUGCCCCUUAGAGGCCUGACAAAUAGAAGGAAGAGCAACCAAGAUCCCUUUCCGCUCUCUUAAUCUGGCACCAGCCACACAGGGUGAGGCCUGGUCAAGCUUGCCUUUGUUACAGGCAGAAAAUGAACAGGUAAUCCACAGGCAAGUGAUCAAUGGCCUCUACCAUGAUGAAUAUAAAGGCCUGCACAAAAGCUGGGAUGGUACCUCUACUAAAACUUAUCUUCAUCACCAAAGAAAAGAAUACCUCUUCAGAGGGAAUUUGCAACUUUUGCGCUUACAAAUGGAAUCCACAGUUUCUCUGAAAUGCAUCUUGCAAAUGCUGUCCUGUGACUGACUCUGCAAGGCCCUGGCUCUUCGGAGGGCAGCGGCCUGCCGAUCAGCCCUCGGCCUGCCCAGCAGGGCCAGCCCUGCACUCUCGUUGCCCUGUCCUGAACGCUGUUGACAAAUAAACCCACUCUCAGGAAAGGCGAUUCCUGCUUCCAGUUCUCCAUAACUAGGCUCAUCUCAUCUGGAAAGCGUCAUUGGCAACAGCCGAAAGGAUAAAUAUUUAAAACUAAAUCAGGGGAUGCUAACCCCUUCCCUACUCCUCCCCUUACUCUCUCUCCAAACCAGAGGCCAGCCCGCCUAAGGCUUCGCUGGCUGGUAAAUUACAACGAUCUGAACAGAGCCAACUGGCUUCUCCCGCUCUCUCUCUCUCCCCACAUACACACUCAGUCUCCAAUGCUGUAUGUAUCCUUCCCCUUCAGCAAAGGUAAAUAUGAUCUCUGAGCUGAGAUACUGUGAAAGUCAGCAUUCUGACUUCUCGCUAAAGCUGGGCUCUAUUUCACAGCACAACCGGGUUUAGGCGGAUUUGUGUAUUCUUCCAGAUCCUUCUAUUUUUAUUAAAUUAUACAUACACAUUGAUUUUAAAACUAGUGCUUAAAUAACCUUGAGGCUUCAACAAAGAAAAAAAAAGGGGGGGUGGGCGUGAAUAGUCCCUGAAAUAAACAAGGAAACAUUUGGAGCUGAAUGCCCAGCUAUCACCCCAUCAUUUCUAGGCAGUUAUAUUUACGGGCCUGGCACCUGCUGGGUGAUCAGGACCUCCUGGGUAUGGGACAGAAUGCAGGCUCUCCUGAGAACAACCCACACUCAGGCUGCUGUGCCAAGGCCUACACACAGAUGUUCUGAUUCACAUUUCUCUGACAAAAACCUCAAGGCCUCCAUCUAUCGCUACAAUGCUAAUUCCAUAAUUUUACCCCCAAGUCGUAGGUGGAACGGAACAUUAUCUAGCUUACUAACCCACCCUCCCCAGCUCAGACCCUAAGUCUGUCAAUGACACACAUUAAGAAAGACACAAAUGAGUAAACAUUUUUUAAAGGAACUGUGAUUGGGAAGAGCUUUUCCAAAUUAAUGUUAAGUUACAAAGCCCAGUUUAAGAAAGCAGAAAUAAAUAACUUGCCUUAAACUAGCUUUAAAAACGUUAGGUAAAAAGCUUGCUCUUUCCUUUUUUUUUUUUUUUCUUAAACAAAAAAUAUUAUUUCUGAAAGGGCAAAGAGAAUUUGUCAUGCAAGACUUUUAUACCCAGGGGGAUUCUUACAUUUGUGUUUCUAAACCUUGAAAUUGAGAAUUUUAAUGAAAAGGCAGACAGAUGCUUAAGGACAGCCUCGCAAUCAAGGUCCAUACAUUACAGGAGAGGAGGGACGCUUUGUUUGGGGCCAGGAAAAAGAGGUGGAUUCCAUCCCUGCUGUCUGACACAUCCCUGUGCACUCGGCCUGACACCACUGAAUUCUUGGAGGGGAAGCAGGUUGGAGGCAGAAGAAAGGAAAAAGGAAACUGGAGAGGAAAGAAAGGGGGGAGGGGGCAUGGCUUCUUUAUAUAAAUCUUGUAUGUGUGGGUUUUUUUUUAAAUUCUCAACACAGCAUCAACCCCAUAGUAUGUGCCAACAAUUCCCCUACACAUGCAUUAAAACAAUCAAUUAAACGAUCUACCAGGAGCACAAUAA
Molecule: long non-coding RNA, 2368 nt
Organism: Myotis daubentonii (Daubenton's bat)
Lineage: Eukaryota; Metazoa; Chordata; Mammalia; Chiroptera; Vespertilionidae
Source: RefSeq, a predicted model, not a curated record